GGCCUCCAUCUUGAAAACGGAAAAUAAAAACAGCAGACCUAUGAAGGUCGAAGGGGAAGAAAAGCUGUAUCGAUUGUUGAGAUCUGGCGACUUGUUUAAAUUUCAUCAGCCUCACUUCUAUGAACUCUCAGAGCUGAUUACCAACUCCUACCACUGUUAACCCUCAUCCAGGAACAAGCUUAUGUCUUUAACAUUCUGAGUGGGCUUCAGCAUCCUUGCAUAUGUUCAAUUCUUAAAAACCUGUUGAAAUAAAAGAUCAGGAGACAUAGGAAGGAUGCCAGAAGAGAGCGUGGCCUCACGUGUACCAGCUCUCUGCUCUCCUUUGCCUUGGGACGUUCCAUCCCUGGAAGUUUCCCUGCCCACAUCUUUGUAGAGAGUCCAUUCUCCAAGCUUCAGUGUGUCAUCUGUGAGGACCGUGACCCACCUGGUACAUCGCCUCAGGGCAUUCAUUUCAGGCUCCUUCUAAAUGGCCAAGUUUUCAAGAUUGUUUUGGCUCUAGCAAAACAAGUUGGAACAUUCACAUCAUCCAACAGAGUCCUGCUCUGUCACCCAGGCUGGAGUGCAGUGGCAUGAUCCUGUCUCAUUGCAACCUCUGCCUCCCGGAUUCAAGCGAUUCUCGUGCGUCAGCCUCCCAAGUAGCUGGGAUUACAGGCGUGAGCCCCUGUGCCCGCCCCCCCCACUUCUGGUAUACCUUUGAAUAACACUUUACAUUUUGUGGGGUGCUUUUCUGUUCCAGUUGCCAGCAUUAAGAAAAUGUGGUCUUGUGAAUAUGAUUGUGAGUUGGAACUUAGUAGACAGAUUUUGGCUCUUCCCUGAUUCUAUCUCUAUGACUUGAGUAACAAUGACCAGUGGCCACAAUCAAGGUUUCAACUCUGUAAAACAGGUGUGAUGUUGCUAAUUUUGUUUGUGUGUGUGGUAAAAAUCAGUAUUAUCUCAGGCUAUUUGCCUUAAGCUUUUUAUAAGAAGAAAGCCAUAAGUAGCAUGCAAGAAGCUACUGGUGAUGAUCAUCUAGGAUGUUUGUUUCUCACUCUCAUGUUCCCUGACUAACAAAGAAAUAAUGAAAUUGUCCUUGAGCCAGAGGAAUGGCUGGAUGGUGGCCAAGGAUUUGGGUUGAAUCCCCAGUCAUGUUUGACAUUUGUGUUAAUCAGUUGGGUUUCUUGUCACCUAGAGUAAUGUUGACUUGGAUAUGUAUUGUUCAGCACAAUGAAACAAGUAAACAUUUUUAAAAUGUUGAACAUUUAGCAAACUGACAGUUAUAGGUCUUCAUAUCCAAAGGCAAUGAAGCAUUGUUAUAUGAUUAAAAAUAAACAUAAUUUGCAUUGACAAUAAAUAAAUAUAUACUUUAA
RNAcentral lists this long non-coding RNA (1346 nucleotides) under Homo sapiens (human). RNAcentral's name for it is "testis expressed 41". Lineage: Eukaryota; Metazoa; Chordata; Mammalia; Primates; Hominidae. The record is from RNAcentral.